RNAcentral lists this ribosomal RNA (399 nucleotides) under uncultured bacterium. RNAcentral describes it as "partial 16S ribosomal RNA". It matches the Rfam family "Bacterial small subunit ribosomal RNA", at positions 28 to 526 of the family's 1533-position model. The record is from RNAcentral.
GACGAACGCUGGCGGCGUGCUUAACACAUGCAAGUCGAACGAAGUGGGAACGGGUGAGUAAUACGUGGGUAACCUCCCUCCUUUUUGGGAUAAGCCUUGGAAACGGGGUCUAAACCGAAUAGAUGGGCUCGCGGCCUAUCAGCUUGUUGGUGGGGUGAUGGCCUACCAAGGCGGUGACGGGUAGCCGGCCUGAGAGGGUGACCGGCUACAUUGGGACGGAGUUACGGCCCAGACUCCUACGGAAGGCAGCAGUAGGGAAUCUGCCGCAAGGGACGAAAGUCUGACGGAGCAACGCCGCGUGAGUGAUGACGGCCUUCGGGUUGUAAAGCUCUGUUAAUCGGGACGCGGUACCGGAAUAGAAAGCCACGGCUAACUACGUGCCAGCAGCCGCGGUAAUAC